AGCAGUGCGCCGAUUGCCGGGGGCGCGAGCGGCCUUCGCGGUUUAAAUCAAAGAUCGUUGGGUUUAAAUAUUGAUUUUAACCGUACGUGGUCCAUAAAAGACGGCGGCGCCGAGUCUUCAGAGACUUAAGUACUUUGCAAAACGUGUGAGCACUUUCUAUCAGGACAUCAGCCAUCAUUUACUGCCUUCAAUAACAGCACUGGACCAUGUUCUGCCACAGGGCAGUGUUUUGUAGCCCGCUGAAGAUUCUGAGGGAUCUGCAGCAAACCUUUGCUAGCUGGGGUUGCGGAGUGGAUCUGGGAAGAACCAAAAGUGGGUCCAGUCUAGACUGGAAGUGGCAAUGCUGAGGAGAGUGAAGCAGGACAUACAAGAAUGCUCCAGAAGAAGGCAAAUUGCAAGGACCUAUUAGCGAUCCUGGAGAGAGUGAAAGACCAAAGGGCCUGUCCCACUUUCACGACCUAAAAAACGAUCAAAAACCUAUGACCUACAACUAUGUCAACGGCCUCCUACGACUAUGUUGAAGACCUCCCAUGACUAUGUUGAGGACCUCCCACGACUAUGUUGAGCACCUCCUUUGACUAUGUUGAAGACUGGCUUCGACCAUGUACGUUUUACUGCUGUUUGCAGUAGCCCUGUUGCUUCAGCAGCCUUUUAAGAAAGGCAGAAGGGGAAGAGCAAGGGUGAAGAGGAAGCACAAGAAGAGGUCUCAAAGAGUGAAUGGAGAUAAUGUGAUGGACUGUCCCAGUACACCAGAUGACUGGUAGAGAAUGAUGCUGGGCUUUGACAAAAGAUGGAACUUUAGGCACACAUGUGGGGCAGUGGAUGGCAAGCAUGCCAUUCUUGUCCCCGUCCCUCAUUUUCCUUUUCAUACAGGACUGCAUUCUGCUGGAACCAUUCCUCAAGGUCCCUGUCCUGCUGCCUCGUGAAGGUGUAGGGCAUCACCUUCCUCCAGCCCUCCCUCACCACCAAUGGGGCAUCUGCCUUCACACGAAGGCAGUUGCUUUGCUGCCUUCACACGAGGCAGUGAAGGAAGUGGUGGUGGUGGGGACAUGUACUACCACCCUGGUCUCCUCCAGGGGGUCUCUCAUGCAGGUCUACCUCUUUCUGCACUAUCACCUCCAGUGGCAUCACCUCCUGCCAUUUCUCCUCUUGGGUUAACACCUGCAUGGCUGGCUUUUUUGAGGGUUGUGCCCUCCCCCUGCACUGCUGCCUUUUUGGUGUCAUCUCUAAAACACGUCUCCUCGCCAAAAAACUCCAGCCAUGACUGAACAUGCCUUGGCGUGAGAGGUGACGUUCUGCUGUUUAAAUACUGUUUUCUCUACUGACCUUUUUCACCACAGAGCUAUUACCUUCGACUGCCUCCGACUAACAUCACGACCUACUACGACCUACCUACGAGUAAAAAGUAUCGAUUUUUUCCAUGCCGAUCUUUAUUUUUUACCCGUGGACAUUUUUCAUCGGGCUAGAAAAACUGCCGCGAUCUACUUGCCACAAGUACCUACGACUAGCAUCGCAACCUAAGACUUCCUAGUACCUCGUGGCGACCAUGCUGCGAGUACGAGUCAAGGGCAAACUCGGCAGAGGUCGUGAAAGUUGGACAGGCCCUUUAGGCGGUUGGCAGCGAUCACAAGAUCAAAAGGCAAAUAUCAGGAGCAGCCCAGGUGGUUUAAGACAGCAGAAUGGUAGGCAGUUCCCCUGGGAAUAGUGUCUGGCAGCGAGAGGAAAAGGCAAAGUAGGUAUAUGGAGGGACGAGAGGGGUGAAUAGGGAGGAGGGGAACAUGUGGGAGGUGUGGACAACAUAAUGCAUGUCUGCAAACAUCAGUCUGUGUGUUAAAUCUAUGCUGCAGAGCUUGGUCUUAAAUUGUAUUGGAUUUUCCUGCCUUUUGAAUAAAGACAUUGCUGUGCCGACUGUAGCUGAUGAAUAAUAACCACUCCACAUUAAAACAAAUCAUCGGCAUCUUUCAAACUUCAAAGAAAAUUUUAAAUCUGGAAUGUCUGAAUCUUCAUGGACAGUGACCAACCUGACCAUGACACCCUGCUCAGAGCCUAGGAAAAUUAGGAUGUUCAAGAUUGAUAUUGCGAACCUUGAAAGAAACACGUGGCUAGUUCACUCUUGAAGGCACAAAAUGCUAGAGCCACUCUGGCUCAGACAGCAUCUCCUUAUUGAUCAGCCACAAAAGAUCGCAGCUGCCUGGAGCUUCCAGUGCAGAUCAUUUUAACUCUCCUCCCACACUAAUCAGGUCUGCGUUAAGCCUUCUUCCUGUGGAAAGGCCAAAUGCAAAAAUCACAUCUCAUUUGGGUGACUUAGUCAAAUGUACAAAUAUUGAAUUUUCCCAUUUUAGGUAAUCCAUACCCCGACUAGUGUUCUUGUCCACCCAUUCACUGUCUACCUAGUUUUCUUCUCCUUUUGUUUACCUUUUCCCCCAAUCACCUCCCCUACCUGAUUCAAUUUGCCCAUCUCUAUCUGGUUCCAUCUAUUACCUACCAGUCUUGGUCCAACCCCUCCCUCAUACUGCUGCAUAUUUAAACUUCCCCCUUCCCCCGGUUCUGAUGGACAGUUUCAACUCAAAACAUAAUUGUAACUCUUGCCUCCACGGAUGCUGCUUGGCCCAUUGAGUUCUUCAAAUCCUCCAUUUUCUGUGCCUUGUAGAAUGGAAAGCUUUUGCAGUCAGGUUGCAAAAAUAUUUAUUGCCACUUCUGAUCAAUGGUUACUCCCCAAAUGUGUUAAAGAUGGGGAAUUCACAAAUCAUAAUAAUGUUGAACCACCAAUGCAAUGUUUCACAAAGAAUUAAUAUAAAUAAUUGAAUCAUUUAUUUCUGUCAAAGGAAUAAAAAUACACAAAAUGUAUGACUUCACUGUAUAAACUUCACAAGCCACAUAUACAAAAUAAUCUUCAUGUCUUCAAAAUUCCAUGUUCCAAUAGCUGUAGGGUAUUGUACAAG
Long non-coding RNA from Leucoraja erinaceus (little skate), 2942 nucleotides. RefSeq lists it as uncharacterized. The record is from RefSeq and is a predicted model, not a curated record. The transcript has 2 exons. Lineage: Eukaryota; Metazoa; Chordata; Chondrichthyes; Rajiformes; Rajidae.